CUCUCCUUGGAAGGAGACGCGCCCGCUGCGACUGCGAGAGCGAACCCCCAAAACCCUCGCCACCUCUGCGGGGCGCCGCGCGAUCGCGAGCUCUCUCCCAUUCCCUUCCCUCCCUCCCUCUCUCUCUCGCGCUCCACCCUAAUGCCCCCCACGAGGCCCAAGCGGCGGCGCGGCGGCUCCGCGCGAUCCCGCGGCCGGAAGAAGCAGAAGCGCCUCGACGCCAUCCACGAUGUCGCGCCGGUAUCCGCCCCUCCCGCCGGAGCCGCCGUCGUCGUCGGCGGCGGCGGCGAGAGCGAGGAUUCCGACGCGGAGGGCCCCCGACGGAGCACGCGGGUGCGCCGCGCGCCGGCCCUGCUCGACACCUCGCCGCUCCCCUCCCCGCGCCGUAAGAGGGCGCGCGGCGGCGGCGGCGGCGGGGUGGCCGGGUCGAGCGGCGGGAGCUCGCGGAGGAGAAGCAGAGGUAGGGCGAGGGGCGAGGCGGGGGUUGCCCGCGAGAUUGGCGAGGAAGAGGAGGAGGAGGAAGACGACGAGGCGGGGAACGUGGUGUGGCGCUCUCGGCUGCGGGAUAGGGUCAAGGGGAAGGCUAAGCUGGAUAAGCGAGUUAGGAGCCUCUGGUUCGACGAGGACUACGAGGUGGAGCUGAAGGAGGAGGAGGAGGUGGUGGUGGAGGAGGAGGAGGAGGAUGAGGAGGAGGGGGAUGAGGAGGAGGAGGAGGAGCAGGUUAGGACAUUGGUGGUGGACCUUCGGGAGGGAGCUGAGGAAGAGACAAUGGGCGAGGGAAGUGGGAGCUUGCCAAUGCGAGGGAGGGAAGUGAUGGAUAGGGAAAUCAAUCUAACCAUCGAUUUGAAUGUGGAAGAACAUGAGGCUGUCGAGGGUGUCAAUGUGGUGGAAGAGGAAGAUGGGGAAAAAGGAGGCGAAGCGGAUGAGGAGAAAGGAGAUGCGAUUGGUCCUGGAAAUGAUCUACACGAAGGCAAGCAUGAGGAGGUAGGGGACGAGGAGGGUUUACAUGAGAAGGAGAGAACUGAAGAGCUGGGAUCAGCAGUACUAGAAGGGCGAAAUGGUGAUGAGCUACCUUGCAAUGAGAAUAAUGCUGAGGAUGGCACUGGCAGUUCACAUGAACACGAGCAUCUUCUUGUGCAAAAUGAGCAGACUGUGGAAGAGAGCAACCUUUGUGUUGAGCAGCAAAUGGAACUGGAUGGUUCUAGUCCUAGUGAGCAAUUGAAAGAGGUUCAGCAGGAUGUACAGACAGGUGGUGCCUCAAAUGUAGUACUGCCCGAGGAGGCCCCAAAGGAAGGAGUCCGCAAAUUUCCAGUUUCGGAAGAAAAACAGGGUACCAUGGAGAUUAAAGAAGGGAGACGUUGUGGGCUCUGUGGUGGAGGGACUGAUGGAAGACCACCUAAGGUUGCAUUACAUGAUACAGUUGACAGUGAUAAUGAAGCCUAUGAGGGGGCUUUGCCUUCAGAGGAUCCAAACUAUGAUAUGUGGGACGGGUUCGGUGAUGAUCCUGGGUGGCUUGGAAGGUUAUUGGGUCCAAUACAUGAUCAGUUUGGCAUUGCUCGUGUCUGGGUUCAUCAGAAUUGUGCAGUUUGGAGUCCUGAGGUUUACUUUGCUGGUUUGGGCUGCCUAAAAAAUGUAAGAGCAGCACUUUGCCGUGGAAGGCUUUUGAAGUGCAGCCGAUGUGGCAGACCUGGUGCAACUAUUGGGUGUCGAGUUGAUCGAUGUCCGAAAACCUACCAUUUGCCUUGUAGUCGAGCAGAAGCCUGUAUAUUUGAUCACCGGAUGUUUCUUAUAGCCUGCAAUGAUCAUCGACAUUACUUCCAACCUCAAGGAGAUAAAUAUGUUGAACUGCUCAGAAAAAUGAAGAUAAAAAAGAUGAAGGCAGAUAUCAGAAAGGUGUCACAUGAUGCAUGGAGAAAGGACAUAGAGGCCGAGGAAAAAUGGUUAGAGAACUGUGGAGAAGAUGAGGAAUUCUUGAAACGUGAGGGGAAGAGGCUAAACAGAGAUCUUUCGAGAAUUGCACCUGUUUACAUAGGAGGCACUUCUGAAAAUGAAAAGGCGUACUGUGGCUGGGAGUCUGUUGCUGGGCUCAGUAACGUUAUUCAGAGCAUGAAGGAAGUGGUGAUACUGCCUCUUCUGUAUCCUGAGUUUUUCAGUUCUUUAGGUCUUACACCUCCAAGAGGUGUUCUGCUGCAUGGCCAUCCUGGUACUGGUAAAACACUCGUAGUGCGUGCACUAAUAGGGGCAUGCUCUCAGGGGAACAGAAGGAUUGCUUAUUUUGCUCGAAAAGGUGCUGAUUGUUUGGGAAAGUAUGUUGGCGAUGCUGAGAGACAACUAAGACUUCUGUUUCAGGUAGCUGAAAGAUGUCAACCUUCGAUCAUAUUUUUUGAUGAGAUAGAUGGCUUAGCACCUUCUAGAUCCAGACGACAAGACCAGACACACAAUUCAGUUGUGGCGACUUUGCUUUCUUUGCUGGAUGGUUUGAAAUCACGGGGUUCAGUUAUAGUAAUCGGCGCAACAAAUCGUCCUGAUGCUAUUGAUCCUGCUCUUAGGAGGCCAGGAAGAUUUGACCGUGAGAUAUACUUCCCGCUCCCCACCUUUGAGGAUAGAUCCGCUAUUCUUUCAUUACACACGAAAAAAUGGCCAAGUCCUAUUUCUGGGGCAUUCCUCUCAGUUAUUGCAAGCCAAACUGUUGGAUAUGCUGGUGCUGAUCUGCAGUCAAUUUGCACCCAAGCUGCAAUAAAUGCUUUGAAAAGGACUUGCCCAUUGAAGGAAAUCUUACUCUCUGCAGAGAAAGGAUUUGAGCAUGGGCGACUUCCUCUACCAUCAAUUCUUGUGGAGGAAAGGGAUUGGCUUGCUGCUCUUGCAGCUGCUCCACCACCCUGUUCACAGAGAGAAGCAGGGAUUGCUGCAAAUGAUCUAGUUUCCUCUCCUCUUGUCUCCUAUCUUGUGCCGUGCCUUCUUAAACCAUUGCUGCACCUUUUUAUCUCCCUCUAUUUGGAUGAGCGAAUCUGGUUACCUUCAUCUCUUCUGAAGGCAUUUGCUUCUAUUAAGCAAGUUAUCUUCUCAUCUAUGGAGAAGAAUAAUGUGCCUCACACAUUUUGGUCUUCCUAUCUCCCAUCUUUGAUACAACAGAAAGGUAUUGCAAAAAGAAUUGCAUCAAUCUUGUCAGGCUAUGGUCUAAUAGCUUAUCAACUAGGAAACCAUGAUUCUGUGUUAAAUCACAAUGAACAGCACGAGAAGUUUGAUGCCCACAGAUUGAAUUCCACCGGUUCUCACCCAAAAGGAGGUUUAGCACAUAAAUUAUCAGGAUUUAGAGCUUUAGCUGCUGGAGCGCCCAGAUCAGGCCAACAACAUCUGAUCCGUUGCCUUCUUCAUGGUUUUGUGGGUCAUACUGUAAUACACAAGCUUGAUCUUGCAACUAUGGCACAGGAGGGAAACGGUGAUAUUCUUAGUGGACUCACACAAAUUCUUCUAAAAUGCCUUAAUCUUGGAAGAUGUAUAAUCUAUAUGCCUAGAAUUGAUUUGUGGGCCAUCGACAAGUUCCAUGAACAAGAAGCAGAAGAUCAUGUGCUCAAUGUGGGAACAAGCAAGUUAGGGUCCACAGCAACAAAAAAUAUUAAAAAAUGUUCUGAAGUAUGGAAUUCGUUGGUUGAUCAGAUGGGUUCAUUGUUAGCUUCUGUAUCCAUCAGUGUUCUGUCCACCAGUGAACUGAAGUUUCAAGAUCUCCCUAGUGGAGUAAGACAUUUCUUCAGCACACAUGUUGUAGAUCAAUGUCUUGCUUCUUCAGAACACACAAUACCAAGGUUCUCUGUGAAUGUUGACAGCUACUUUACCUGGGAUGAGGUUAUUGACGCAUGCUGUUUGCGGAUAUCACAUGAUUUAGUUCAGCAGCAUGUUCAACUUUUGCAUGACAGGGCUCAUAACAAUCAUGAUGAACAGAAAGAGGUCUUUGUUCCUAUGGAAAUUAGUGCACCAGGUGAACAUAGAUCCAGUGGGAGUAAGGAAGCCAGCAUGUUAACGAAGUAUCCAUUGAACAUGGACAAGCAUCCCUCAUGUGGGGUUUCUUCAAGAGAGCAUCCUACUCAGCUGGGCACAUGUAGUGCUCAGCAAGAGCCACCAACAUCUAAUGUUGAAGAUAAAGAGGACAAUACUGAGAAAAUUGAUUUCAAUGAGAAAGUCGCAACAAAUCGUUCUAAUAGAAUUGUGAAGGACAGUGAAUCACUAGCUAUUAUGGCCUUUGGAAUUCAGAUACUACAGCACCCGCAAUUUUCUAAACUUUGUUGGGUUACAUCGAAACUACGAGAGGGCCCCUGCACUGAUAUAAAUGGACCAUGGAAAGGCUGGCCAUUUAAUUCCUGUUUAUUGCAAAGCACUACAGCUGAUAAAUCAUUAUCUGGAGGAAACAAUGUUCUUAAGGGCAAAGAGAAGAUUCCGUCUGUCAGAGGACUUGUUGCUGUUGGUCUAUUAGCAUAUAGAGGUGCUUAUGCAUCUGUUUUGGAAAUCUGUUCUGAGGUGAGAAAGGUCUUGGAACUGUUAGUUGGACAGGUCCGAACUAAAAUUUUGGAAAAGAGAAGUCGAUAUCGGUACUUCCAUAUUCUGUCCCAAGUUGCUUAUCUGGAUGAUAUCAUGAGCAGCUGGGCAUACACCUUUCAAAGGUUACAUAGUGAAAACAGGAGAGUAAAAACAAGUCCAAAGGUAACUGUUGGAAAGUCAUCCACAAGAGAAUGUCAAGGCGACAGCAACACUGCAGAAGCAAACAUACUUGGUGCUCCUGCUGGCUGCUCUGAGGCCCAAGGCACUCCUGGCCAACAUACAGAUGACCUUGAAGUUAUUCCUGCUCACUGCCCUAGUGAGAUGCAAGAGAAUUCAGUCCAACAUGCUCCAGGCCAUCUUGAAAUCCAUGGCAUUGUCUGCGACCUUGACAAUGAUAAUGUGACAUCUAUAUCCAGCAUAAAUGCAGUGGAACCUGAUCUUAUCCAUUCAGCUUCACUUGAUGUGCACACAGAUUCACUUACCCCAGCAGAUGCAGUAAUAAAUGAUGGGCAAUCUUGUGGGGUUGACAAUGAUGGGCAAAUGUCCAGAGUAAUCAAUGGAGAAGAAAACCACAUAUCUAAUAUUGAAAGACCUGAAAGCCACACAGUAUCUGUUGCGGAUUUCAAUGAGUUGCAAAGGAAAAAUGCUGUUGCAUCCUCAACUAGUACCGACAGUGCAGGAACAUCCAGGAACAUGGUGUCUUCUGAAGCUCGUGGAAGUGACAAUGAGCGGAAUACUGAUUUCCCUGUGGAUGAUGUCAAAUUAGGUCAUUUGGUUAAUCCUCAAUCACAGGAUACCAUGAAAAGUCUCUCAGUUCUGAAACCUCCAUGUCUCUACAAAUGUUGCCCUGUGUGUUUCAAUGCUGUUUAUAAGAUGGUUCAUGAUAUUCUUUCAAAUUCAGUAAGGCCUAGUCUGCAUUGCUUAGCAGUCGAUGAUAUGCAUGACCUUUUGUCAUCAUGGUCAGUGAAUCUUCUAGCAACAGUUAGAAAAUGGUAUACUUCUCAAGGUAUUGUUGGCUCUGAAGAAAAUUCUGGAGAAGGGCAUUGUGUUUGUAGCAGUGAUAAUGGUUGUGUUCCAAGGGAGUGCACAUGCCAUUUGGAAAGCAACGAAGAUGCUGGAACUAUAAAGGAUGAGAGCUAUUAUCUAAGUGGACAGCCAUUAAGUUUUUUCUUUAAAGAUGGUGUAUUGAUACCACCAGAUAUCACUGCACCAACUACACUUCAUUGCAGUUAUAUGAGAUUAUGUGUUUGCUCGAUACCAGGUUCAAUUUCUAUGUUCAAUCGGAUCUCGAGUUGAUGUGAUUGUGUGAUGCAAGGUACUUCAAUGCUAAGGAUACCACAGUUCUGAUCUUUUUCCUGUGCUGGCCUAUCUUCAGUGUUUACCAGGUCUUGUGCACUCUCAUGGGAUUUUGCUUGUUUCCCCAGUGGUAGCAGCUAGUUCAUUGCAAUUACACCUCCUCCCUUGAUGCAACUCCCAAGCUAGCCUUCUGCAAAUAAAUUGCCUUUAUUGGUUAUGUUCAGCAGUGGAGUGCUGGGUUAUAUAGUUUUUGGGAAACCUGGAUCGACUGAAAAGAAACAAUGCUAUUGAUUUUGUGUCUGUUAAGUGGUUCCGUUGUAUACGCAGUCUACUGUUACUGAUAUUGGAAUCUUUAAACUAGCUGAUCCGUGAUGCUUUCUCAAAUCUCAUUGUAUUAUGUAUUAUAGCUCAAUUAAAUCACUGAGUUGAUCAGUUGAAACAAGAUUGACAAGUACCUACAGUGUCCAAGUUGUACCUUCAGACUGGUUACUGACCAAGUGGCCUUACUAUGCCCAGUUCCCUGAAGUAGCCAUGCCAUGGCUUGGCUUAUCCAGUUUGAUACAUUUUGCCAUGGUGGUGGUUUAUUGCUCUUUUAGCAAAGCAGUUGUGCUGGCUAUUCUUUGUUGGACAAGUUUAGUUUGAAGGCAGGCAUAUGUUCUAUUUGUAUGUGGCUUGCCAUUUUCAUAAUUUUGUCAGCAGAACUGGGACAAACUUAUUAUUGUAAAAGGGAAGAUUAUUAUUUGAA
This is a non-coding RNA of Oryza sativa Japonica Group (Japanese rice), 6574 nucleotides long. The record is from RefSeq and is a predicted model, not a curated record. NCBI's taxonomy places the organism in Eukaryota, Viridiplantae, Streptophyta, Magnoliopsida, Poales, Poaceae.